This is a long non-coding RNA of Lethenteron reissneri (Far Eastern brook lamprey), 660 nucleotides long. RefSeq lists it as uncharacterized. The record is from RefSeq and is a predicted model, not a curated record. Lineage: Eukaryota; Metazoa; Chordata; Hyperoartia; Petromyzontiformes; Petromyzontidae.
GUCUUGUCCCCCCCCCCUGCCCCGCCACCGAUGGGCACGGUUGGUUGCGUACGGCGCGAAAGAAGUUCAACGCGCGUACGUUGGGACGGUGGUUUGAAUACGAGCGGCGAUCACACACAACGGACAGGGUGGCCCGCGGGGAAAGUUUACCCCCUCAGCGCCGAGGUCUUGAGACUGCCCGUUGCAAGUCGUUUGAGCAUUACAGCUCCGCUGUGGGCAGCGCGGCGCUCGGAAUGGACAAGCGCCGGUUUCGAAGGGAAUCUCUUCGGUCAAGAAAUCGUCCACGCCGCACAUGUGACGUCUCGCAGACUCCGAGGCACGCUUGGGGGGCACGAGGCCAACUCUGCCUGCCAAGAGCUGCAGCGGAGGCUGUGGAAUUCUCACAGGAUGGGGCUGAGCCGCAGCACGCCUCUGCGAAAACCACGCCGUUGGCUGCAGCGUUCAUCACCGGCCACGUGAUUUUCCAUCUCGCUUGGCUCCCUUUUGACGUUGGCUUCUGAGACGAACUCAUGGUGUUGUGAGCGGUGUCUGGGUCUUAUUAAAGUCUCCUCCCGUUACACAGAUCCCCGUGUGCGUCACUGCAACGUGGUCCGUUCCCAGUCACUGGAUGAUUUCCAUCUUUGCCUCCAAGUUGAGGGCGACACUUCUCCUGUCGCUUGG